AGAGUUUGAUCCUGGCUCAGGAUGAACGCUGGCGGCGUGCUUAACACAUGCAAGUCGAACGAAGCGCAUAAACGGAUUUCUUCGGAUUGAAAUUUAUGUGACUGAGUGGCGGACGGGUGAGUAACGCGUGGGUAACCUGCCUCACACAGGGGGACAACAGUUAGAAAUGACUGCUAAUACCGCAUAAGCGCACAGCAUCGCAUGAUGCAGUGUGAAAAACUCCGGUGGUGUGAGAUGGACCCGCGUCUGAUUAGCUAGUUGGUGAGGUAACGGCUCACCAAGGCGACGAUCAGUAGCCGACCUGAGAGGGUGACCGGCCACAUUGGGACUGAGACACGGCCCAAACUCCUACGGGAGGCAGCAGUGGGGAAUAUUGCACAAUGGGGGAAACCCUGAUGCAGCGACGCCGCGUGAAGGAAGAAGUAUUUCGGUAUGUAAACUUCUAUCAGCAGGGAAGAAAAUGACGGUACCUGACUAAGAAGCCCCGGCUAACUACGUGCCAGCAGCCGCGGU
RNAcentral lists this ribosomal RNA (513 nucleotides) under uncultured human intestinal bacterium. Its description in RNAcentral is "bacterial SSU rRNA". It matches the Rfam family "Bacterial small subunit ribosomal RNA", at positions 8 to 521 of the family's 1533-position model. The record is from RNAcentral.